Vicugna pacos (alpaca) is the source of this 938-nucleotide non-coding RNA. The record is from the annotation of a RefSeq genome assembly. NCBI's taxonomy places the organism in Eukaryota, Metazoa, Chordata, Mammalia, Artiodactyla, Camelidae.
UGUCUAAGAGCAGCUGUCGCUUCUGUUCCCUGGAAUCUCUUUAAGCCUGAGAUCAGACACAAGCUCCAGGCUCCUGAUCCCAGCUUGUCCUUGAAGUAUGAGGCUGGUGACUGGAGUAGCUGUGCUUCUGACCUGGGGGACUGUGAUUGAGGCUGAGAUUGACCAGCCCAAAUCCAAAGAUGUUGCUGAAGGAGAAGACGUAACCCUGCCUUGCAACCACGCUACCUUUGGUGGAAGUGACUAUAUACACUGGUAUCGGCAAAAGCCCAGUCAGAGUCCACAGUACAUCAUUCAAGGCUUACAGGACACUGUGAGCAACCACAUGGCCUCUCUGACCAUAGCGACAGACAGAAAGUCCAGCACCUUGGUCUUGCCCCGGGUCGCCCUGAGAGGCAGCGCUGUGUACUACUGCGCCCUGACAGAGGCACAACGGGACCGACGGGGCUGCACCUGCGCAGUAUCUCCCUGGUGGCAAGGAGGGGAGGGACGGGGAGGCUGCAGCCACUGGGAGCAAAUCUAGAGCCACCUAGAAGGAGAGUCAGCAGUCAGAGGGAAAGUGAGGGGAAGGAAAGAGUGAGAAUAUGGAUAAAGCAGAGAAGACAGAGAGGACAAGGAAUAAGAGCUUCACUGGUUGAUGUGGCUGAGACGAGUUAUGAGGAGUCUACAAAUCAUGAUUUAAAUAUAGCAACACAGUGAAGAGGCACCAAUAAUUUGCCAUGGCUCCUUAUCUUGUCAAUAGAAUGCUGGUUUCAGUGUGUUUGUCUCCACAUAAAAGGUGGGAAAAAUACAAAUAAUCCAACUUGUCCCAAAGGCGUGUUUCAUUCGGACCCAGGGCAAGCCCACGUUCUGAAAUGCACAUUAUUACAGUUGUUCUGCUUCCCAGAAAUAAAGUAGCCUUUCUCUGAGAAAAAUCUGAAAUGUUUCUUAUUGCUACUCAG